RNAcentral lists this ribosomal RNA (258 nucleotides) under uncultured prokaryote. RNAcentral's name for it is "partial 16S ribosomal RNA". It matches the Rfam family "Bacterial small subunit ribosomal RNA", at positions 524 to 780 of the family's 1533-position model. The record is from RNAcentral.
UACGCAGGAUGCAAGCGUUAUCCGGAAUUAUUGGGCGUAAAGAGCGCGCAGGUGGUUGAUUAAGUCUGAUGUGAAAGCCCACGGCUUAACCGUGGAGGGUCAUUGGAAACUGGUCGACUUGAGUGCAGGAGAGGGAAGUGGAAUUCCAUGUGUAGCGGUGAAAUGCGUAGAGAUAUGGAGGAACACCAGUGGCGAAGGCGGCUUCCUGGUCUGUAACUGACACUGAGGCGCGAAAGCGUGGGGAGGCAAACAGGAUUA